Molecule: ribosomal RNA, 998 nt
Filed under: Lactiplantibacillus plantarum
Lineage: Bacteria; Bacillati; Bacillota; Bacilli; Lactobacillales; Lactobacillaceae
Description: bacterial SSU rRNA
Rfam family: Bacterial small subunit ribosomal RNA
Source: RNAcentral
GGUGCUUGCAUCAUGAUUUACAUUUGAGUGAGUGGCGAACUGGUGAGUAACACGUGGGAAACCUGCCCAGAAGCGGGGGAUAACACCUGGAAACAGAUGCUAAUACCGCAUAACAACUUGGACCGCAUGGUCCGAGUUUGAAAGAUGGCUUCGGCUAUCACUUUUGGAUGGUCCCGCGGCGUAUUAGCUAGAUGGUGGGGUAACGGCUCACCAUGGCAAUGAUACGUAGCCGACCUGAGAGGGUAAUCGGCCACAUUGGGACUGAGACACGGCCCAAACUCCUACGGGAGGCAGCAGUAGGGAAUCUUCCACAAUGGACGAAAGUCUGAUGGAGCAACGCCGCGUGAGUGAAGAAGGGUUUCGGCUCGUAAAACUCUGUUGUUAAAGAAGAACAUAUCUGAGAGUAACUGUUCAGGUAUUGACGGUAUUUAACCAGAAAGCCACGGCUAACUACGUGCCAGCAGCCGCGGUAAUACGUAGGUGGCAAGCGUUGUCCGGAUUUAUUGGGCGUAAAGCGAGCGCAGGCGGUUUUUUAAGUCUGAUGUGAAAGCCUUCGGCUCAACCGAAGAAGUGCAUCGGAAACUGGGAAACUUGAGUGCAGAAGAGGACAGUGGAACUCCAUGUGUAGCGGUGAAAUGCGUAGAUAUAUGGAAGAACACCAGUGGCGAAGGCGGCUGUCUGGUCUGUAACUGACGCUGAGGCUCGAAAGUAUGGGUAGCAAACAGGAUUAGAUACCCUGGUAGUCCAUACCGUAAACGAUGAAUGCUAAGUGUUGGAGGGUUUCCGCCCUUCAGUGCUGCAGCUAACGCAUUAAGCAUUCCGCCUGGGGAGUACGGCCGCAAGGCUGAAACUCAAAGGAAUUGACGGGGGCCCGCACAAGCGGUGGAGCAUGUGGUUUAAUUCGAAGCUACCCGAAGAACCUUACCAGGUCUUGACAUACUAUGCAAAUCUAAGAAAUUAGACGUUCCCUUCGGGGACUUGGAUACAGGUGGUGCAUG